GACGAACUGUCCUAACGUUGUUCGGAAUCACUGGGCUUAAAGGGUGCGUAGGCGGGCAGGUAAGUCAGAGGUGAAAUCUCCGGGCUUAACCCGGAAACUGCCUUUGAUACUAUCUGUCUUGAAUAUGGUGGAGGUAAGCGGAAUAUGUCAUGUAGCGGUGAAAUGCUUAGAGAUGACAUAGAACACCCAUUGCGAAGGCAGCUUACUACGCCUAUAUUGACGCUGAGGCACGAAAGCGUGGGGAUCAAACAGG
Molecule: ribosomal RNA, 253 nt
Filed under: uncultured bacterium
Lineage: Bacteria
Description: partial 16S ribosomal RNA
Rfam family: Bacterial small subunit ribosomal RNA
Source: RNAcentral